This 1006-nucleotide long non-coding RNA is filed under the name Homo sapiens (human). Its description in RNAcentral is "MIAT neighbor". The record is from RNAcentral. Lineage: Eukaryota; Metazoa; Chordata; Mammalia; Primates; Hominidae.
AACCACUGAGUGGAGUAUUUAGUACACAGGAAGUCGGCCAGAGAAACAUUUCUCAUAUUUGAAGGCCGGAAAGAGGGACAUUUCUGACACCGGAAGUCAGUGAGAGGACUCUUUCCCACACAGGAAGUCAGCUAGAGAGCCGUCUCCCCUCUCUGGAGCCGAGAGAGGCCGGUUUCCCCCACCGACAACAUCCAGAGGUGUCCAGAAAGAAGGUGGCCUUGACCAGAAUUCCUCAGCCUUGGCUGCACAUGAGAACCAGUGAGGGAGCCCUAAAAACGCUGAUGCCCAGGCUCCACCCAGACCUAUAGGUGCAGAACCUCUAGGGGAGGGCCCAGCCAUCGCGCUUUGAAAAAUCUCCUCAGGUCUCACAUGAGUACUUCACAAUGGGGAAACUGAACUGGAACUCUACUGACAACGCAGUUGGGAGUUCAAACUUAAUAACCUUCCAGAGUUGGUAUCAAAUUCAGACGCUGACGCUCCUUGGAGAGGUUCUUUGCUGCAAGAGGAUGGAAAGGAUCACUGUGAUUUUGUUUUUCUCCUGCUGCUCUGUCUGGAAGCCAUGUGAGGAGGACAUCUGAGCAGCCCUGUGGAGAGGCCCCCAGCCAACAGCCAGCAUGAACUUGCUGGGCAUGUGAGUGCACCACCUUGAAAGUAGAGCCUCAACCCCUGGUCAAGCCAUCAGGGAGAGCUCAAGCUGGCCUGUUGGAAGAUGACAGGCCAUAUGCAACAGACGUGAAGUGUCCCAGCUGAUCCCCUUCCAGAACACCCACCUUCCAGAUGACCACAGAUGCAAGGGUGAGCCAGCCAAUAGCUGCUGAGACAUUCCCAGAAAGACAGAACAUCCAGCUGACCCAUGGACUCAUGGGCGAUCAUGGAUAAAUGGAUAUUGUUUCAAGCUACUAGGUUUGGGGUUGGUUUGUUACGCAGCAAUAGCUAACAGCUACACCUCUAUUUUAAGGAGUUGUGAAGAUAAAUUGCAAAGGUACAGAAAAAUGAAUAGCUAUAA